This 496-nucleotide ribosomal RNA is filed under the name bacterium Urfcr2. Its description in RNAcentral is "bacterial SSU rRNA". It matches the Rfam family "Bacterial small subunit ribosomal RNA", at positions 71 to 583 of the family's 1533-position model. The record is from RNAcentral.
AGGCCCUGCUUGCAGGGUACUCGAGUGUUGAACGGGUGAGUAACACGUGGGUGAUCUGCCCUGCACUUCGGGAUAAGCCUGGGAAACUGGGUCUAAUACCGGAUAGGACCAUCGUUUAGUGUCGGUGGUGGAAAGUUUUUCGGUGCAUGAUGAGCUCGCGGCCUAUCAGCUUGUUGGUGGGGUAAUGGCCUACCAAGGCGUCGACGGGUAACCGGGCUGAAAGGGUGGACGGCCACAUUGGGACUGAUACACGGCCCACACUCCUACCGGAGGCAGCAGUGGGGAAUAUUGCACAAUGGGCGCAAGCCUGAUGCACCGACGCCGCGUGAGGGAUGAAGGCCUUCGGGUUGUAAACUCCUUUCAACCAUGACGAACCAUUAUGUGACGGUCGUGGUACAAGAGGCACCGGCUAACUACGUGCCACCAGCCGCGGUAAUAAUUAGGGUGCUAGCGUUGUCCGGAAUUACUGGUCGUAAAGAGUUCGAAGGUGGUUUGU